This 429-nucleotide ribosomal RNA is filed under the name Chloroflexota bacterium. RNAcentral's name for it is "Chloroflexi bacterium partial 16S ribosomal RNA". It matches the Rfam family "Bacterial small subunit ribosomal RNA", at positions 355 to 776 of the family's 1533-position model. The record is from RNAcentral. Lineage: Bacteria; Bacillati; Chloroflexota.
UAGGGAAUCUUCGGCAAUGGACGAAAGUCUGACCGAGCAACGCCGCGUGAGUGAAGAAGGUUUUCGGAUCGUAAAACUCUGUUGUUAGAGAAGAACAAGGACGUUAGUAACUGAACGUCCCCUGACGGUAUCUAACCAGAAAGCCACGGCUAACUACGUGCCAGCAGCCGCGGUAAUACGUAGGUGGCAAGCGUUGUCCGGAUUUAUUGGGCGUAAAGCGAGCGCAGGCGGUUUCUUAAGUCUGAUGUGAAAGCCCGCGGCUCAACCGGGGAGGGUCAUUGGAAACUGGGAGACUUGAGUGCAGAAGAGGAGAGUGGAAUUCCAUGUGUAGCGGUGAAAUGCGUAGAUAUAUGGAGGAACACCAGUGGCGAAGGCGGCUCUCUGGUCUGUAACUGACGCUGAGGCUCGAAAGCGUGGGGAGCAAACAGG